This 468-nucleotide ribosomal RNA is filed under the name uncultured bacterium. RNAcentral's name for it is "partial 16S ribosomal RNA". It matches the Rfam family "Bacterial small subunit ribosomal RNA", at positions 28 to 507 of the family's 1533-position model. The record is from RNAcentral.
GACGAACGCUGGCGGCGUGCUUAACACAUGCAAGUCGAACGGAAAGGCCCUGCUUUUGUGGGGUGCUCGAGUGGCGAACGGGUGAGUAACACGUGAGUAACCUGCCCUUGACUUUGGGAUAACUUCAGGAAACUGGGGCUAAUACCGGAUAUGAGCUCCUGCUGCAUGGUGGGGGUUGGAAAGUUUCGGCGGUUGGGGAUGGACUCGCGGCUUAUCAGCUUGUUGGUGGGGUAGUGGCUUACCAAGGCUUUGACGGGUAGCCGGCCUGAGAGGGUGACCGGCCACAUUGGGACUGAGAUACGGCCCAGACUCCUACGGGAGGAAGAAGUGGGGAAUAUUGCACAAUGGGCGGAAGCCUGAUGCAGCAACGCCGCGUGCGGGAUGACGGCCUUCGGGUUGUAACCCGCUUUCGCCUGUGACGAAGCGUGAGUGACGGUAAUGGGUAAAGAAGCCCCGGCUAACUACGUG